GGUUGCUAAACAAAAAGGCAAUGUUUUAAGAACCGGACCGGCCGGUUCAACCGGGAACCGGACACAGCAGUGGUCCGAACUAACUAGUGCUGAGAACAGGUAGUCUGCAGAACCGGAAAAAAACCGUUUGAAACCGUUGCGAACCGUCCUGAAUCGGUGAACCGGGGGCGGUUUUAAAAAACCGGUUGGUUCGGAAUCUUUUGAAAUUAAAAAAAAAAAUCCAUUGUAUUUAACGUUUUUUUUCUUCGCUGUAACCCUAAUCUUUUGCUUUUCUGAGAGUGUGAAACGGUGGAAGGAAGUGAAAGUGUGAAACCAAACCUAUCUCAUCGCAAAACCACCACCGAUCUUGCCGAUCUCUUCGCUGCUUCAGUCUCUGCCACCACCUAUCUUCUUCUUCUUCUUCUUCUCCGCACAAACCUAUCUUCUUCAUUGUUGUUGUUGCGUCCACUGGUAAGGAUUGAGCGCCUGAACCUUUCUUCUUCUUCGUUAUUGUUAUUGCUCAAUACUGAUUUUGCAAUUAUAGUUCGGUUUAAGUUUUACUUCCUUCUUCUUACUUAUAAUUUCAAUCAAACACAUAUAUUUCAACUCUUCUGAAGGUAUAAUGAGAUCUACCAAAAUAAAUAAAUUAAAAUCAUCCAACGGAAUAACCAAAAGCUGCUUUUUUUUUCUUAUAUUAGAUGGUGGAAUGAAACAAAUUUAUCCUAUUGUUAUGUUUUGGUUUCUUAAUUUGUUUCAUAUAUUGCAUGUCAUAUGAAGAACUAAGGUUUUGUUCAAUUUUUAUGGGUUUCUUCUUUAUAUUAUUUGCUUUAGGAAAUCUUGUUUCAACACAGUUUUCAGUUUAAUAUUUUUCGGAAACAAAUUGAUUGGAACAAGAAUAAGUGCUUCAUGUAAAUUCAGAUUGGAAAAGGGUUCUUUUUUUCUUAUAUUACAGUGAAAAAAAUAAAUUGUUUUAGUUUCUAAUUUGUGCUUUGUUUGUUUUAGGUUUUUAAAGUUUCUAUUUUGUUAGUUUGUUUAUCAGCUGUGAAGUAGAAUAAUUAUUUUAAACCAAUUUUACUAAUUUGUUGCUUUGUUUACCAAUUUAAAGCUUAUUUUCUAUUUCAGAAAAUUAUGUCGACAUCAGCAUCAACUUCUGUUGCUCAAUCUUCACAAGCAGCUCCUCCAACACAAGCUGAUGACUCUAUGCAAUCAUGUCGACAAAAGUCAGACCCUGCUUGGUGAUGUAAAAAUUUGCAAAACAGUGGAUGCAGAUACCAGAUUUAGGAUGCUCGAGAGUUUGAAUGAAACUUCAACAAAGAAGAAGA
RNAcentral lists this long non-coding RNA (1301 nucleotides) under Trifolium pratense (red clover). Its description in RNAcentral is "long non-coding RNA (TPRA_LNC011760)". Lineage: Eukaryota; Viridiplantae; Streptophyta; Magnoliopsida; Fabales; Fabaceae. The record is from RNAcentral.